CAGUCUACAUAAACGAUGCCAACCAGCGAUUAGCCUGAGUUCCUUAAAUGACUCGACUAGCAGCUUCCGGGAAACCAAAGUUUUUCGUUUCCGGGGGAAGUAUGGUUGCAAAGCUGAAACUUAAAGGAAUUGACGGAAGGGCACCACCAGGAGUGGAGCCUGCGGCUUAAUUUGACUCAACACGGGAAAACUCACCCGGCCCGGACACCGUAAGGAUUGACAGACUGAGAGCUCUUUCUUAAUUCGGUGGGUGGUGGUGCAUGGCCGUUCUUAGUUGGUGGAGCGAUUUGUCUGGUUAAUUCCGAUAACGAACGAGACUCUGGCCUAUUAAAUAGUCGGUAUAUCCAGAAAAGUUUACCGUACUUCUUAGAGGGACAAACGGCGUCUAGCCGCGUGAAAUAGAGCAAUAACAGGUCUGUGAUGCCCUUAGAUGUCCGGGGCUGCACGCGCGCUACACUGAAAGAAUCAGUAUGCGCUUUAACCUAGUCCGGAAGGAUUGGGUAACCCGAGCAAAUUCUUUCGUGCUUGGGAUAGGGAAUUGCAAUUAUUUCCCUUAAACGAGGAAUUCCCAGUAAAUGCGGGUCAUAAGCUCGCGUUGAUUACGUCCCUGCCCUUUGUACACACCGCCCGUCGCUACUACCGAUUGGAUGACUUAGUGAGGUCUUAGGACCGACGUAAAGGAGCUUUCGCGAGUUCUUUUUCGUUGGAAAUUUGAUCGAACUACGUUAUCUAGAGGAAGUAAAAGUCGUAACAAGGUUUCCGUAGUGAACCUGCGGAAGGAUCA
RNAcentral lists this ribosomal RNA (784 nucleotides) under uncultured eukaryote. Its description in RNAcentral is "SSU rRNA". It matches the Rfam family "Eukaryotic small subunit ribosomal RNA", at positions 1021 to 1828 of the family's 1831-position model. The record is from RNAcentral.